AGAUUGAACGCUGGCGGCAUGCCUUACACAUGCAAGUCGAACGGCAGCACGGGAGCAAUCCUGGUGGCGAGUGGCGAACGGGUGAGUAAUACAUCGGAACGUGCCCAAUCGUGGGGGAUAACGCAGCGAAAGCUGUGCUAAUACCGCAUAAGAUCUACGGAUGAAAGCAGGGGAUCGCAAGACCUUGCGCGAAUGGAGCGGCCGAUGGCAGAUUAGAUAGUUGGUGAGGUAAAGGCUCACCAAGCCUUCGAUCUGUAGC
RNAcentral lists this ribosomal RNA (259 nucleotides) under uncultured soil bacterium. Its description in RNAcentral is "partial 16S ribosomal RNA". It matches the Rfam family "Bacterial small subunit ribosomal RNA", at positions 26 to 287 of the family's 1533-position model. The record is from RNAcentral.